This is a long non-coding RNA of Balaenoptera acutorostrata (minke whale), 581 nucleotides long. RefSeq lists it as uncharacterized. Lineage: Eukaryota; Metazoa; Chordata; Mammalia; Artiodactyla; Balaenopteridae. The transcript has 5 exons. The record is from RefSeq and is a predicted model, not a curated record.
GUGAGACACUACGCGUAUUCGGAGUGGAGGUGCUACGCGGUGUCCAGGAAGCUUCCUCCUGCAUUAGGAGGUCUAUACAUGCUGUUAUCUUUGCUGGACUUUCCUCCCAUCUCUUCAUCUAGGCCCAACUUGGCUUUGCAGUACUUGACUGCCCUCAGUUCUACAUAGUUGCCACUAGAGGGCAGGCGCGGUUAAGACAACAAUACUCUGGACCCACCAGCGCCAUAAUUACUGGCUGGAACUCACAUCACAGCUGCCCUAUUUACUUACCUACCGGCUGCAUUCCUUAGAACCAGUUUUUUUCCUGUUCAAAUGGAAACCAGGCAGAAUUGGGAAAAUAUUUCUUCAGCCAGCUCCUCAGCACUGCUGUCUGAGGGAGACCAUCUGACCCAGAUGCCCUUCAAAGCCCGUGAGCCACAACUACUGAGCCCGCAUACUGCAACUACUGAAGCCCACAUGCCUAGAGCCCAUGUUCCCCAACAAGAGAAGUCACCGCAAUGACAAGCCUGCACACCGCAACGGAGUAGCCCUGCUCGCCGCAACUAGAGAAAGCCUGCGCACAGCAACAAAGACCCAACGCA